GAUGAACGCUGGCGGCGUGCCUAAUACAUGCAAGUCGAGCGAACAGACGAGGAGCUUGCUCCUCUGACGUUAGCGGCGGACGGGUGAGUAACACGUGGAUAACCUACCUAUAAGACUGGGAUCACUUCGGGAAACCGGAGCUAAUACCGGAUAAUAUAUUGAACCGCAUGGUUCAAUAGUGAAAGACGGUUUUGCUGUCACUUAUAGAUGGAUCCGCGCCGCAUUAGCUAGUUGGUAAGGUAACGGCUUACCAAGGCAACGAUGCGUAGCCGACCUGAGAGGGGGAUCGGCCACACUGGAGCUGAGACACGGUCCAGACUCCUACGGGAGGCAGCAGUAGGGAAUCUUCCGCAAUGGGCGAAAGCCUGACGGAGCAACGCCGCGUGAGUGAUGAAGGUCUUCGGAUCGUAAAACUCUGUUAUUAGGGAAGAACAAAUGUGUAAGUAACUAUGCACGUCUUGACGGUACCUAAUCAGAAAGCCACGGCUAACUACGUG
RNAcentral lists this ribosomal RNA (497 nucleotides) under uncultured bacterium. RNAcentral describes it as "partial 16S ribosomal RNA". It matches the Rfam family "Bacterial small subunit ribosomal RNA", at positions 28 to 507 of the family's 1533-position model. The record is from RNAcentral.